CACAACGACUCUCGGCAAUGGAUAUCUCGGCUCUCGCAUCGAKGAAGAACGUAGCGAAAUGCGAUACUUGGUGUGAAUUGCAGAAUCCCGUGAACCAUCGAGUCUUUGAACGCAAGUUGCGCCCGAAGCCUUUUGGCCGAGGGCACGUCUGCCUGGGCGUCACGCA
Molecule: ribosomal RNA, 166 nt
Filed under: Corynocarpus laevigatus
Lineage: Eukaryota; Viridiplantae; Streptophyta; Magnoliopsida; Cucurbitales; Corynocarpaceae
Description: 5.8S ribosomal RNA
Rfam family: 5.8S ribosomal RNA
About the family: 5.8S ribosomal RNA (5.8S rRNA) is a component of the large subunit of the eukaryotic ribosome. It is transcribed by RNA polymerase I as part of the 45S precursor that also contains 18S and 28S rRNA.
Source: RNAcentral